This 274-nucleotide ribosomal RNA is filed under the name uncultured bacterium. RNAcentral's name for it is "partial 16S ribosomal RNA". It matches the Rfam family "Bacterial small subunit ribosomal RNA", at positions 523 to 796 of the family's 1533-position model. The record is from RNAcentral.
AUGCGGAGGGUGCAAGCGUUAUCCGGAUUCAUUGGGUUUAAAGGGUUCGCAGGCGGCGUAUUAAGUCAGUGGUGAAAUCCCGAGGCUCAACCUCGGAACUGCCAUUGAUACUGGUAUGCUAGAGUGUAGUUGGCGUUGGAGGAAUGUAUCAUGUAGCGGUGAAAUGCUUAGAUAUGAUACAGAACACCGAUCGCGAAGGCAGCUAACGAAACUAUAACUGACGCUCAGGAACGAAAGCGUGGGGAGCGAACAGGAUUAGAAACCCGAGUAGUCC